UACAGAGGGUGCAAGCGUUGUUCGGAAUCAUUGGGCGUAAAGCGCGUGUAGGCGGCCCGAUAAGUCCGCCGUGAAAGUCCAGGGCUCAACCCUGGGAUGCCGGUGGAUACUGUCGGGCUCGAGUCCGGAAGAGGCGAGUGGAAUUCCUGGUGUAGCGGUGAAAUGCGCAGAUAUCAGGAGGAACACCAAUGGCGAAGGCAGCUCGCUGGGACGUGACUGACGCUGAGACGCGAAAGCGUGGGGAGCAAACAGG
Molecule: ribosomal RNA, 253 nt
Filed under: uncultured bacterium
Lineage: Bacteria
Description: partial 16S ribosomal RNA
Rfam family: Bacterial small subunit ribosomal RNA
Source: RNAcentral